GACGAACGCUGGCGGCGUGCUUAACACAUGCAAGUCGAACGAAGUGGCGAAAGGGUGAGUAACGCGUAAUCAACCUGCCCUUCAGAGGGGGACAAAAGUUGGAAACGACUGCUAAUACCGCAUACUGAAGGAGGGGCUUGCGUCUGACUAGCUAGUUGGAGGGGUAACGACCCACCAAGGCGAUGAUCAGUAGCCGGUCUGAGAGGAUGAACGGCCACACUGGGACGGAGACACGGCCCAGACUCCUACGGGAGGCAGCAGUGGGGAAUUUUGGACAAUGGGCGCAAGCCUGAUCCAGCCCUGCCGCGUGUCUGAAGAAGGCCUUCGGGUUGUAAAGGACUUUUGUCAGGGAAGCGGUACCUGAAGAAUAAGCACCGGCUAACUACGUGCCAGCAGCCGCGGUAAUAC
RNAcentral lists this ribosomal RNA (408 nucleotides) under uncultured bacterium. Its description in RNAcentral is "partial 16S ribosomal RNA". It matches the Rfam family "Bacterial small subunit ribosomal RNA", at positions 28 to 526 of the family's 1533-position model. The record is from RNAcentral.